RNAcentral lists this ribosomal RNA (154 nucleotides) under Acinetobacter baumannii. RNAcentral describes it as "partial 23S ribosomal RNA". It matches the Rfam family "Bacterial large subunit ribosomal RNA", at positions 2777 to 2925 of the family's 2925-position model. The record is from RNAcentral. Lineage: Bacteria; Pseudomonadati; Pseudomonadota; Gammaproteobacteria; Moraxellales; Moraxellaceae.
GCAUCUAAGCGGGAAGCCUACCUCAAGAUAAGAUUUCCCUAGGACUUUAUGUCCUCUAAAGAGCCGUUCGAGACUAGGACGUUGAUAGGUUGGAUGUGGAAGCAUAGUGAUAUGUGAAGCUGACCAAUACUAAUUGCUCGUGAGGCUUGACUAU